Long non-coding RNA from Mustela erminea (ermine), 652 nucleotides. RefSeq lists it as uncharacterized. The record is from RefSeq and is a predicted model, not a curated record. The transcript has 3 exons. NCBI's taxonomy places the organism in Eukaryota, Metazoa, Chordata, Mammalia, Carnivora, Mustelidae.
GAUUUUCAGUAGGCGGUAAUCCCCAGAGGGUAGCUUCACGCGCAUCUCCCGCCCUUUGGCUCCUCAGCCAAGCAUACACCCCGCAAGACUGGACACAGUGAAAAGGCAGCCUUUGGCAACCAUAAAGAAGGCCCUCACCAGGAACCAAUGAUGCUGGCACCCCGAUUUCAGACUUUCAGCCUCUAGAAUGAAAGUCCAAAACCCCUGGUGAAAGUUUCAAUUAUCUUGAGGUAUACAUCUGAACCAACCAUAAGAUCACCAUUUUUUCUAUGGUAGGAAAUCUGCAGCUGCUCAAGUACUACUAGACUUGACAUGCAACUUUCACCCAUCCACCUUUGAACCUUCGAAAAAUGUUUGCAUAAAAGAAUGUGUCUUUAAGCCCCCCCCUUUUUCCACUCACUCCCUGAAGUAGGAGAAAUAUUAGGAAAUUUACUCUUCCACUCAAAAGCUCUCACACUAGCCUUCAAGAAGCUACACUUAUGAUAGAAGCAUGAACCCAGCAGAGGAGAGCCCCAGAGGGGUCACAGUGUAUGACAGUCAACUGUAUACGUUCACACUUCAGACAUCUUAUUCAAACCAACUGCAGAAGCCUGAUUUGUUCUUGAGAAAAUAUUAUGCUGACUUCAAUUCAGACAUUUCUAUUUUGGUGCAG